Molecule: unclassified non-coding RNA, 345 nt
Filed under: soil metagenome
Description: partial contains 5.8S ribosomal RNA, internal transcribed spacer 2, and large subunit ribosomal RNA
Rfam family: 5.8S ribosomal RNA (bases 1-119)
Source: RNAcentral
GAUGAAGAACGUAGCGAAAUGCGAUACGUAAUGUGAAUUGCAAAUUCAGUGAAUCAUCGAGUCUUUGAACGCACAUUGCGCCCACUGGUAUUCCGGGGGGCAUGCCUGUCCGAGCGUCAUUGCUGCCCUCAAGCACGGCUUGUGUGUUGGGCCCCGUCCUCCGAUCCCGGGGGACGGGCCCGAAAGGCAGCGGCGGCACCGCGUCCGGUCCUCGAGCGUAUGGGGCUUUGUCACCCGCUCUGUAGGCCCGGCCGGCGCUUGCCGAUCAACCCAAAUUUUUAUCCAGGUUGACCUCGGAUCAGGUAGGGAUACCCGCUGAACUUAAGCAUAUCAAUAAGCGGAGGA